Molecule: long non-coding RNA, 795 nt
Organism: Syzygium oleosum
Lineage: Eukaryota; Viridiplantae; Streptophyta; Magnoliopsida; Myrtales; Myrtaceae
Exons: 2
Source: RefSeq, a predicted model, not a curated record
UCACAUAAUAACCAAAAGUCAAACAACCAUUGCAAAAGUCUCAUAAAGUCAAACACAUAAGUAAGAUCAACAAAGAGUUUAGAAAUGGUAAUUUCGAAAUGAAUGAGAUCAAUUUUGCUGAUUUUCUGGAGGAGCUGAGGGUCUGGCAGGUUCAGAUGAUGAAGUUCCAAAUGGUGCAGAAAGGAAAGAUCAGUAAUGGCUGCAUGGUCUGACAUGGAAGAGGAGAUGUUGUAUCCAGAAGAAGUAUGAGUGGUCUGAACAUGAAUAAAAGCUGCUUCCUUCCCUUUGCCUCUUGAUGGAGCUUCAGAUGGACUGUUUUCACAGUUAGUGCCUUCAAGAGGAAAGUCUACAGAAGUUGCUACUGAAGGAGCUGCGUCUUUUGCAUUCUAAUCAUGGUCAUUGUUCUUAACAUCUGGAGCAGUGUCUUCUUCAAACUCCUCCUGCAUGUUAUCAUAUUGAGCAUCUUCUUCUUCAAACUCUUCCUGCAUGUUAUCAUCUUCAGCAUUUGCUUGUUGAAACUCCUCAUGCAUUUCUGCUUCAUGUUCAAACUCCCCCUGUCUUCUAGAGGUUUCUUUCUCAACACCUUUCUCAGCAGUGGCCAUUUUCUCUUGCUGAUUUUCCAUGACUACUUUGUUGAUGAUGUCACUAAGUGAAUUCAUCAAAUGGUCCUCCUCUUCUUGCAGUCUCUGAAUUUCAAGCUGAGUGGCAGCAUGUCUGUCUGCACGAGCUUUGUACUUGGCAUCUUGAAUAAUUAGCCAUUGCAUAAACCUUGACUCCUCAAGGCUUCUUUCAUCA